This 305-nucleotide ribosomal RNA is filed under the name uncultured bacterium. RNAcentral describes it as "partial 16S ribosomal RNA". It matches the Rfam family "Bacterial small subunit ribosomal RNA", at positions 505 to 807 of the family's 1533-position model. The record is from RNAcentral.
ACAGCAGCAGCCGCGGUAAUACAGAGGAUGCAAGCGUUAUCCGGAAUGAUUGGGCGUAAAGCGUCUGUAGGUGGCUUUUCAAGUCCGUCGUCAAAUCCCAGGGCUCAGCCCUGGACAGGCGGUGGAAACUACUAAGCUGGAGUACGAUAGGGGCAGAGGGAAUUUCCGGUGGAGCGGUGAAAUGCGUUGAGAUUGGAAAGAACACCAACGGCGAAAGCACUCAGUUGGGCCGACACUGACACUGAGAGACGAAAGCUAAGGGAGAAAAUGGGAUUAGAUACCCCCGUAGUCCCUGUCUCUUAUAC